UGCGUAGGCGGGCAGGUAAGUCAGUGGUGAAAUCUUCGAGCUUAACUCGGAAACUGCCGUUGAUACUAUCUGUCUUGAAUAUAGUGGAGGUAAGCGGAAUAUGUCAUGUAGCGGUGAAAUGCUUAGAGAUGACAUAGAACACCAAUUGCGAAGGCAGCUUGCUACACUAUUAUUGACGCUGAGGCACGAAAGCGUGGGGAUCAAACAGGAUUAGAUACCCUGGUAGUCC
Molecule: ribosomal RNA, 229 nt
Filed under: uncultured bacterium
Lineage: Bacteria
Description: partial 16S ribosomal RNA
Rfam family: Bacterial small subunit ribosomal RNA
Source: RNAcentral